This is a long non-coding RNA of Aquila chrysaetos chrysaetos, 2162 nucleotides long. RefSeq lists it as uncharacterized. The record is from RefSeq and is a predicted model, not a curated record. NCBI's taxonomy places the organism in Eukaryota, Metazoa, Chordata, Aves, Accipitriformes, Accipitridae. The transcript has 2 exons.
UCCUGGCAGGGAGCCAGAGAGGGAGAGACAGCAAAAGAAAUGAAAUCACAAUGUGGCACAGGGCAAAGAAAGAGAAAAUUGAAAAACAGGGCCUGGGAACUGGAAAGAGAGAGCCGGGGGGGGGGGGGGAAAGCUGCUCUAGGGCAGAGAAGGAGGAAUGAAAAAACAGGGGCAGGGAGCCAGAGAGAGACGAAGACAGACAACUUCAGAAGCGGUGGUCUACAGGGCAGAGGGGGAGGAAUUUUAAAAAAGAAAUCAGGAUCUUGAGCUGGACAAGAGAGAGAACAUAAAAAUGGUGAUGGGUAACAGGGCAGAGAGGGAGGAAUCAAAAAACAGGGGCAGGGAGGCAGAGAGACUGAAAAGGGCAAAAGUCCUGACAGGCUUCUGGAGAGAGAGAGAGGAAAUAAAAAUUAGAGACAGGGGAGUUGGACAGAGAGAGACGGGGAAAGGGGAAAAAGCUGCAGCAAGCUACCAGGCAGAGGAGAAGAGUUUAGAAAUGGGGACAGUGAGAUGGACAGAGAGGAGGGAGAAAGGAAAGAAGCAACGGGCAAUGCGGCAGAUAGGGCAGAAUGAAGAAAGAGGGACGGGGAGCCAGACAAACCAAGAUGGGGAUAUAAAAACAUAGUGACGGGCUAGGGGGCAGAAAGAGAAGACUUAGAAAAACAGGGACAGGGAGCAAGAGAGAGGGAGAUGGAGAAAGGAAAAAAUACCGAUGGGCAACAGGACAGAGAGGAGGGAAUUGAAAAUGAGGGGCUGGAAGCAGGAUAAAGAGAGACAGAGAAAGAAAAAGAUUCGUGAUGUGCUACAGAGCCAAGAAGGGAGACCUUGAAUGACAGGGAGCCAGACAGAGCGAGCCAGAAACAGCAAAAAUACCGAUGAGCUGCAGGACAGAGAGGGAGGAAUACAAAAAUAGUGGCUAGGAGCCAGACAGAAAAAGACAGAGAAGGAAAGAGUUAGCUAUGGGCUACAGGUCAGAGACAGAGAAGACCUAAAAGAUGGGGACAGGGAGCUGCUCAGAGCAAAAUUCAAAAAGGAGAUACAGGGGAGGAAAAAAAGAAAAGCACAGCGGCAUGGGAAAAAGAUGGGGGCAGGGAGGGCCUGGGACGCCCAAGAGGGGUGACAGGGCCCUGAGGGCCCGGGACUCACCGCAGCUUUCGCUCUUGACGCUGCCAGGAGAAUUUGCCAGUUCAGCUGCUUCUUUCUCCUUCUCCCCUCCCUUCCUCUUCUGUUAACUCCGGUCGCUUGGCUGUCUUCCACCUAAGAGAAUACGUGGGUGUCUCACAGCUGUUACAAGACAAAGCUUCCUAGACACGUAGUCUUGCUCCCUCAUGCAGUACGUGCAAGAGUAGGACAGAGGGAGAGAGAAAGAAGGUAGGAAACAAGCCAGAGGGAUUGAGGAAAAGAGAGACAGUGAUCAUGACAAAGGGAUGGAGAGAGAAAAACCAGCUCCGGGCUGCAGGAUGAGAAAAAAGGCCAGGGAGCAGGACAGAGGGGAAUAAUGGAACAGCGAGCUGGGCAGAGGGGUAUAGCGAGAAAUGAUGGAACAGGCAUUGGUAUGGGCAUGUACAGACAAAAAGUUAGUUGGAGGGUGGAAGACAGAGACAAUAAGAGAAAAGGGACAGGGCAUAGAUGGAGAAAGGAAUAUUAGAGACAGAGAGAGGCAGAGAGGUGGAGUGGGAAAAAAUGAUGAUGGGUAGCAGGCCAGAGGGACAAGGAAAAACAGGAGGAAGGACAGCGGGAUAUAGAAAACAGGUGAGGGACAGGGUGCCAGAAAGCGGGAUACUGCAAAAGAGAGAAGGAUGGGGAUCGGGACGCUGGCAUAGGGAGGCAAUGAGAGCAACAGAGAAAACAGGGACAGAGAGUGGGACAGAGAAGUGAAGCAACAAAUAAUAGGGCCAGGGAGCAGGACAGAGGAAGAGAGACAGUGAGAGGGGGACAGGUAAGACAACAGAUCAUUAGAGAAAGAAAAUAAAAGGAACAGCACAGAGGGUCACAGAGAAAAAGAGAGGGAGAGCAAAAAGGGAAAAAUAAGAUGAGGGAGGAAGACUGAGCAGCAGAGAGAAAAAGGUACAGGGAAAAUGACAGAGAUGGAGAAAACAAAGACUGGAGGCAGAGCAAAGGGAAAGAUUGACAAGGACAGGGAGCGGGAUAAAGGGAUGGAA